UUGAAAUAAGUUACCAUUUGGGAAACAUACCAUGGAUGAGAUGUAAUCCUGAAUAUAUCAUAUUCCCAAUAUUGAGCACAAUAUAGCAUGUAUAAGUUAGUGUUCACUUGCAUGACCAGUAAUUUUUGUGUAAGGAGACUACAAAUAAUUGUGAGUCGGAAUUGAUUUUGUGAAAUUAACAUUUAGUUGGUAAAAGCUUGGUAAUCUUAUAGACUUUAAAAUGGAGCAGGCAAAGAAUUCUAGAAGACAGAGCUAGGAUUUAGCUUGACAACUCCAUUAGUGUGACAUGUAAACGCGAGUUAAAUGAAGCCUAACACCACAUUAGGAAAUGUGAUGCUUCAGGAAGUUUGUAUGUGCCUUAUGUAGUUAUUGGAGAACCAUGGUGCACUAAGGUUUUGUGAGUGUUCUCAUACCUGUUAGAUUUGUCGGCAUCACUCUCAGUAAAAUCAAUUCUUCUUUUUGCAUUGAUCCUGAUUGUAAUGUACAUCAUAGAUGUAAAGUAGUGUUGAUCAGAGGAAUACAAUAAGAUGGAGGUUUAUGAAAGAUUACAUGUAGCAGCAUAUAAAAAAGAGAAAGCAUUUGAGAAGGGAAAAAGACUAACAUUCAAUUCCAUUUGGACUUUCACAUAAAAGUAUCAUUGUGACAAGUCAUAUAAUGGAGAAGCAAUAAGAGAGAUGUUUAAAAUCCAAGUUUAUGAAGCAUUACCUAUUUUCGUUUUCCUUUAUGCUGAUAGACAUUGGCUUAUGAGUUGCAAGAGUAUUGUCAUUGGUGGUUGUAUCCUCGCCUGACUAAAAAAGCUUCACACAUUAUGUUAAUAACCAUGAUAUAUGAAGGACAUAAUUUAUAGGGUACUUGGCAGACGAAUCAGUGUUCAUUCCUAUGUAGAAUAACUUUUCUUUACCAAUGGCCUUAUCCGGGGU
Triticum urartu is the source of this 920-nucleotide long non-coding RNA. RefSeq lists it as uncharacterized. NCBI's taxonomy places the organism in Eukaryota, Viridiplantae, Streptophyta, Magnoliopsida, Poales, Poaceae. The record is from RefSeq and is a predicted model, not a curated record.